Molecule: ribosomal RNA, 429 nt
Filed under: Chloroflexota bacterium
Lineage: Bacteria; Bacillati; Chloroflexota
Description: Chloroflexi bacterium partial 16S ribosomal RNA
Rfam family: Bacterial small subunit ribosomal RNA
Source: RNAcentral
UGGGGAAUAUUGCACAAUGGGCGCAAGCCUGAUGCAGCCAUGCCGCGUGUGUGAAGAAGGCCUUCGGGUUGUAAAGUACUUUCAGUCGGGAGGAAGGUGGUAAGGUUAAUAACCUUAUCAAUUGACGUUACCGACAGAAGAAGCACCGGCUAACUCCGUGCCAGCAGCCGCGGUAAUACGGAGGGUGCAAGCGUUAAUCGGAAUUACUGGGCGUAAAGCGCACGCAGGCGGUUUGUUAAGUCAGAUGUGAAAUCCCCGGGCUCAACCUGGGAACUGCAUCUGAUACUGGCAAGCUUGAGUCUCGUAGAGGGGGGUAGAAUUCCAGGUGUAGCGGUGAAAUGCGUAGAGAUCUGGAGGAAUACCGGUGGCGAAGGCGGCCCCCUGGACGAAGACUGACGCUCAGGUGCGAAAGCGUGGGGAGCAAACAGG